GAUGAACGCUGGCGGCGUGCCUAAUACAUGCAAGUCGAGCGAACAGACGAGGAGCUUGCUCCUCUGACGUUAGCGGCGGACGGGUGAGUAACACGUGGAUAACCUACCUAUAAGACUGGGAUAACUUCGGGAAACCGGAGCUAAUACCGGAUAAUAUAUUGAACCGCAUGGUUCAAUAGUGAAAGACGGUUUUGCUGUCACUUAUAGAUGGAUCCGCGCCGCAUUAGCUAGUUGGUAAGGUAACGGCUUACCAAGGUGACGAUGCGUAGCCGACCUGAGAGGGUGAUCGGCCACACUGGAACUGAGACACGGUCCAGACUCCUACGGGAGGCAGCAGUAGGGAAUCUUCCGCAAAGGGCGAAAGCCUGACGGAGCAACGCCGCGUGAGUGAUGAAGGUCUUCGGAUCGUAAAACUCUGUUAUUAGGGAAGAACAAAUGUGUAAGUAACUAUGCACGUCUUGACGGUACCUAAUCAGAAAGCCACGGCUAACUACGUG
This 497-nucleotide ribosomal RNA is filed under the name uncultured bacterium. Its description in RNAcentral is "partial 16S ribosomal RNA". It matches the Rfam family "Bacterial small subunit ribosomal RNA", at positions 28 to 507 of the family's 1533-position model. The record is from RNAcentral.